ACUAAUCCUAAGCAAAAAUUUAAAAUUUAAGAGUUGAAAAGAUCUGACCAAUGGGCUGCAAUCCAAUAGACAAGAAUGUCGUAUAGAAACCUAAAUUUCUCUUAGACUUUAGAAUCAAGCAAUAUCAAUACACAAAUAGCAAGAUGAAGAGAAAUGCAUCAAAUAAAUAUAGCCACAUCCAAGCUUAGCAAAUUCAUGAUCUCCUUCCUAAUCUUCCAUGUAUCAGAUGAAUUCAGUGAUAGGAACUAGGCACA
RNAcentral lists this long non-coding RNA (254 nucleotides) under Lathyrus oleraceus (garden pea). RNAcentral's name for it is "Pisum sativum (pea) long non-coding RNA (PSAT_LNC024685)". The record is from RNAcentral. Lineage: Eukaryota; Viridiplantae; Streptophyta; Magnoliopsida; Fabales; Fabaceae.